GCCAGUCACACUGAAGAUAUUCUCAUGUAACAAGGACUUUACGAGAUUCUGCAAGCUAAUAGUUUAAAAGGUAAUAACAAGUGUUUGCAAUUUUCUCCGGCCCAAGUUGCUCCUUCAACUUAGCAUUCGCCUUCUUUCACAGCUUUUCCUUCACAUUCUUUACUAGCCCCACCUCUUCUUUUGCUUUCAUAGCCUCCAUUUUGAUCUCAAUAAUCACACCAUCGUUAGAAAUUGUUAUCGAGCCAUUCCCCACUAUAUGUUUAGCAUGUUCCUUAUUUGAUACCCUAUGAUUCUUGGGCUCUGAUAAUUGCAAAUGUGAAAGCACCCUUACAGGUUACAAUUUCAUGACGAAGAGAGGAAAAGGAGAUUAAAAAUUUGUCUGAUCUUCCAAACAAUGGCUGCAACUACAUCAUCCUCGUACAUGUAAUAACCGACGGCGGGAAAGCUUGUUGGUGUGAUGGUAGUAGGUUGCAUGGGGAGUAAUUGUAUUUUCCAUAAAAGCGAAGCCAAAUUGCCGAGCCCAAAAAUGAUUGGUCCACAAUGCCCAGUGACCCCAAACGAUAGGGGAGAUCUCUGAUAAUUCGCCAAAAAUGAGUAACUUGAAAAACUAGUGUUCG
Molecule: long non-coding RNA, 617 nt
Filed under: Olea europaea subsp. europaea
Lineage: Eukaryota; Viridiplantae; Streptophyta; Magnoliopsida; Lamiales; Oleaceae
Source: RNAcentral